This 492-nucleotide ribosomal RNA is filed under the name uncultured bacterium. Its description in RNAcentral is "partial 16S ribosomal RNA". It matches the Rfam family "Bacterial small subunit ribosomal RNA", at positions 29 to 507 of the family's 1533-position model. The record is from RNAcentral.
AGUGAACGCUGGCGGUAGGCCUAACACAUGCAAGUCGAACGGCAGCACAGUAAGAGCUUGCUCUUACGGGUGGCGAGUGGCGGACGGGUGAGGAAUACAUCGGAAUCUACUUUUUCGUGGGGGAUAACGUAGGGAAACUUACGCUAAUACCGCAUACGACCUACGGGUGAAAGCAGUGGAUCUUCGGACCUUGCGCGAUUGAAUGAGCCGAUGUCGGAUUAGCUAGUUGGCGGGGUAAAGGCCCAACUAGGCGACGAUCCGUAGCUGGUCUGAGAGGAUGAUCAGCCACAAUGGAACUGGGACACGGUCCAGACUCCUACGGGAGGCAGCAGUGGGGAAUAUUGGACAAUGGGCGGAAGCCUGGUCCAGCCAUACCGCGUGGGUGAAGGAGGCCUUCGGGUUGUAAAGCCCUUUUGUUGGGAAAGAAAAGCAGCAGGUUAAUACCCCGCUGUUCUGACGGUACCCAAAGAAUAAGCACCGGCUAACUUCGUG